UGUUCAUGUUUCCUUCUACACACGCUGCACCCUUCUCGAAUGAUCAUUUUUCCAGUUUGAUGACUCAUUUGCAGAUACAGUAUGAUUUGUGAGGCUAACGUUGUCCCUGAUUCCGUUUUUUUUUUGCUCUCUCGUAGGUCCUAGCGCAUCACAAUACCGGUGACAUUAGGACUGUCGUUGAGCAAGCAAGUAUGUGUUUGAACAGAGCUGUUCGCGUUGGACUUUAAGCAGAAGGUACACAAGUUCAAAAAGCGUUUCGUUUGACAACCACAAAAGUCGCGCCAAGGAAAGCUGCUAGCCGGUCAAACCAUCUGGUAUGGAAAUGGCAUUCAUGCAAUCAGAAACGUUACUACCUUCGCAGCAUAGACAAUGGGAAUGACACCCUUAAAUCAAACCUUUCGUUUAACCCGACGUACAUCAGGAUAAGCAGAUUAAGUUGGCCCUUGUUAGCCGAUGUGAGAAUCAAAACAAAUGUACGGAGAUGCUUUUGCUUGUGGUUAAUUCUUUAAAGAGACGCCAUGCAAGCAACAUUGCGAUAAGUGAAUAAAUUUUUAUCUGCUGGCACACAGUGCUGGCCAAACGCAAAUCACCGCUGGUAGGAAUUGAAUGAUUUUUUCUGUCAGGAGUUCUACGGCAUUCUUGAUGUCCCGACAUUUCGCUUGUUAUAACAACCUACGAUCCAGCCGUCGAAAACGUUUUGAUUAAUUUCAAGUCACCAAUAUGGACAUCCGGAUAGAUAGUUUGGUCGCUUUCGAUUCACUUAAUUCAAAGAUAUGUGCCAUAAUGCUUCAAAGCAAGAGAAAAUAACAAUUUAACACUAUAACACAUAUAAUACAGAAAGACAGUCGAGAUUUGUACCUAUAUACAGUGAGUCGACGAGUCGAUGUUCAUUAAUUAGGCAUUGACAGACGCCAAUGAUUCACCAAACGCCCCAAGAUUGAAUUUUUAUUCUUUGUUAUGUAAAGCUUUUUUUCCUAUAUAUAAAAUAAUAAUAAGUCCUUCGUUUUGAUGCCUACAAGAAUCUCAAACGGCUCAGGAGUUGCUCGCAGUUUUAAUUACUACUCACAAGCUAAUAUCAUUUUUUUCGUCAUAGGUGUAUUCGGCGAUACAUGAACUAGCCCAGAAUGCGUUUGGCGAUUGUAUAAAAAUAGGUGACACAUCGGAUCAACAAUUGCUGCUUCUUUUCAGCGAAUGCAUGCGUCGGUGAUCAUGGGAAGGGUCCAGAACAUGGUGCAAUAAGUCCUUCGUUUUGAUGCCUACAAGAAUCUCAAACGGCUCAGGAGUUGCUCGCAGUUUUAAUUACGAUACAGUUGCUCAUGUAAACUUUUUUCUUUCAAAGGUAUAUUCGGCGAUUCAUGAACUAGCCCAGAAAGGUUUUGGCGAUUGUAUAAAAAUAGGUGACACGUCGGAUCAACAAUUGAUGCUUCUUUUCAGCGAAUGCAUGCGUCGGUCAUCGUGGAAAGGGUCCUGAACAUGGUGCAAUAAGUCCUUCGUUUUGAUGCCUACAAGAAUCUCAAACGGCUCAGGAGUUGCUCGCAGUUUUAAUUACGAUACAGUUGCUCAUGUAAACUUUUUUCUUUCAAAGGUAUAUUCGGCGAUACAUGAACUAGCCCAGAAAGGUUUUGGCGAUUGUAUAAAAAUAGGUCACACGUCGGAUCAACAAUUGCUG
This is a long non-coding RNA of Anopheles funestus (African malaria mosquito), 1669 nucleotides long. RefSeq lists it as uncharacterized. The transcript has 3 exons. The record is from RefSeq and is a predicted model, not a curated record. Lineage: Eukaryota; Metazoa; Arthropoda; Insecta; Diptera; Culicidae.